UUCGUCCAACGGAAGCAGAGGAAAGUGGCGGACGGGUGAGUAACGCGUGAGGAACCUGCCUUGAAGAGGGGGACAACAGUUGGAAACGACUGCUAAUACCGCAUGACGCAUAGAGGUCGCAUGAUCUUUAUGCCAAAGAUUUAUCGCUUCAAGAUGGCCUCGCGUCUGAUUAGCUGGUUGGCGGGGUAACGGCCCACCAUGGCGACGAUCAGUAGCCGGACUGAGAGGUUGACCGGCCACAUUGGAACUGAGACACGGUCCAGACUCC
Molecule: ribosomal RNA, 268 nt
Filed under: uncultured Oscillibacter sp.
Lineage: Bacteria; Bacillati; Bacillota; Clostridia; Eubacteriales; Oscillospiraceae
Description: partial 16S ribosomal RNA
Rfam family: Bacterial small subunit ribosomal RNA
Source: RNAcentral